RNAcentral lists this ribosomal RNA (497 nucleotides) under uncultured bacterium. RNAcentral's name for it is "partial 16S ribosomal RNA". It matches the Rfam family "Bacterial small subunit ribosomal RNA", at positions 28 to 507 of the family's 1533-position model. The record is from RNAcentral.
GAUGAACGCUGGCGGCGUGCCUAAUACAUGCAAGUCGAGCGAACGGACGCUGAGCUUGCUUCUCUGACGUUAGCGGCGGAGGGGUGAGUAACACGUGUAUAACCCACCUAUCAGACUGGUAUAACUUCGGGAAACGGGAGCUAAUACCGGAUGAUAUUUUGCACCGCAUGGUUCAAAGGUGAAAGACGGUCUUGCGGUCACGUAUAGAUGGAUCCGCGCUGCAUUAGCUAGUUGGUAAGGUAACGGCUUACCAAGGCGACGAUGCAUAGCCGACCUGAGAGAGGGAUAGGCCACCUUGGAACUGAGACACGGUCCUGACUCCUACGGGACGCCGCAGUAGGGAAUCUUACGCAACGGGCGAAAGCCUGACGGAACAACGCCACGCGAGUGAUGACAGUCUUCGGAGCGUAAAACUCUGUUACUAGUGAAAAACAUAUGUGUACGUAACUGUGCACAUCUUGACGGUACCUGAUCAAAAAGCCACGGCUAACUACGUG